GAUGAACGCUGGCGGCGUGCUUAACACAUGCAAGUCGAACGAAGCACUGAAGAAUGGAGAUUCGUCAAAGUUCUUCUUUGACUGAGUGGCGAACGGGUGAGUAAUGCGUGAGCAACCUGCCCUUCAGAGGGGGACAACAGUUGGAAACGACUGCUAAUACCGCAUGACGUGUUCGGACGGCAUCGUCUGGAUACCAAAGGAGAAAUCCGCUGAGGGAUGGGCUCACGUCUGAUUAGCUAGAUGGCAGGGUAACGGCCUACCAUGGCGACGAUCAGUAGCCGGACUGAGAGGUUGAACGGCCACAUUGGGACUGAGAUACGGCCCAGACUCCUACGGGAGGCAGCAGUGGGGAAUAUUGGGCAAUGGGCGAAAGCCUGACCCAGCAACGCCGCGUGAAGGAAGAAGGCCUUCGGGUUGUAAACUUCUUUUAACAGGGACGAAGAAGUGACGGUACCUGUUGAAUAAGCCACGGCUAACUACGUGCCAGCCGCCGCGGUAAAAC
This 502-nucleotide ribosomal RNA is filed under the name uncultured bacterium. RNAcentral's name for it is "bacterial SSU rRNA". It matches the Rfam family "Bacterial small subunit ribosomal RNA", at positions 28 to 526 of the family's 1533-position model. The record is from RNAcentral.